Molecule: long non-coding RNA, 339 nt
Organism: Platichthys flesus (European flounder)
Lineage: Eukaryota; Metazoa; Chordata; Actinopteri; Pleuronectiformes; Pleuronectidae
Exons: 3
Source: RefSeq, a predicted model, not a curated record
UCUUGGCUGUGGCCAAGUUCAGACGACAUGUUGUCCUCUGAUAACACGUGACUCGCCAGCCUGCUGUUAGCUCGGGUUCCAUCUUCAGUGACACAACCUUGGUGCGUGCUGCAUGGGGGAGGACAUCUAUGAUGGAUGGCGUUGGACCCUAUUUACCGUGCAAACUGGACAUAGAGUCUGGAAGAUGAGUUCACAUCAGGCAGGAAGGGUCAAGCAAAAGAUGCUGCUCUAUUGCAUCAUGGAAAGUGAAGAUGUUCUAGGAGCUGUGUACUGCCCGGUGUGUUGUUGGGAGCAGUUGAGAUGAAAUGCAUGCGGCUGGAGGAUUCAACCUAGACAUGG